This 389-nucleotide ribosomal RNA is filed under the name uncultured bacterium. RNAcentral's name for it is "bacterial SSU rRNA". It matches the Rfam family "Bacterial small subunit ribosomal RNA", at positions 28 to 409 of the family's 1533-position model. The record is from RNAcentral.
GACGAACGCUGGCGGCGUGCUUAAUACAUGCAAGUCGAGCGAGGUCCAUCUGGUGGCAACACCAGUGAAGGCCGAGCGGCGAACGGGUGAGUAACACGUGAGCAACCUGCCCCGAAGUCUGGAAUAACAUCGGGAAACCGGUGCUAAUACCGGAUCGCCCCACCUGACCGCAUGAUCGGGUGAGGAAAGAUUUAUCGCUUCGGGGAGGGGCUCGCGGCCUAUCAGCAGUUGGUGGGGUAACGGCCUACCAAGGCAUCGACGGGUAGCUGGUCUGAGAGGACGACCAGCCACACUGGGACUGAGACACGGCCCAGACUCCUACGGGAGGCAGCAGUAGGGAAUCUUGCGCAAUGGGCGAAAGCCUGACGCAGCAACGCCGCGUGGGGGAU